GUCUGCUGAACAUCUUCCUGGCCAAAGGCAAAUUAUUCAGUAUCUCGGUUUCUUCUCUAGAAAAUGGAAAUGACACUCACAGUGUGGUUGACAGAUCCCUGAUCCUUGAGAGGAGGAUUCCAAUAAUUCCAAAUGACAUCUCAUUUAUGGCUGAGUGCUUCUGAGUCUCUCUUUCUCUGCACAUGGUCCAGUUGUGGGUCUCUGUGUUCAUCACCGUCUACUGCAGAAAGAAGCUUCUCUAAGGAGGACUGAGUGGUACACCGAUCUGUAGAUGAAGUCAAGUCAUCAUUUAAUGAAAAUGCAACCUGAUCCGCUUUGAGCAUGAACCUGUUAAAGACGAGGCAAAUGUGCCUUCAGGGGCCUCCCACAGUCUUGAAUCUGGAAGACGAAUUUUCCUGUGUGUAAACCAAGGAUGGAGUCUUUGAAUCAGUAGUGACAGAAACUCAGCUCCAAUAAUUUAGGCUAAAAUGGAAGUUUACAAUGCCUUGUGUGGAUGUUGGAAAGGCACCAUGCAUUCAGAUUAAAGGUGAGGGGGACAUCAUUGAGACCAGUUUUUGAUUUAGAGAUUUAUUUGUUAUUUAAUUUAUGUGUAUCUGUGUGUGCCUGUGCGAGUUAUUUUCAUUCUAUCUUAUUUAUUGUUAUUUUUAUGUGUAUUGAUCUUCUGCCUGCAUGUAUAUCUAUGUAUCACUUGCAUGCCUAAUACCUGUGGAGGCCAAGAGAAGAU
Molecule: long non-coding RNA, 724 nt
Organism: Peromyscus eremicus (cactus mouse)
Lineage: Eukaryota; Metazoa; Chordata; Mammalia; Rodentia; Cricetidae
Exons: 3
Source: RefSeq, a predicted model, not a curated record